AACGCACAUUGCGCCCGCCAGUAUUCUGGCGGGCAUGCCUGUCCGAGCGUCAUUUCAACCCUCGGGCCCGCCUCGCCGUCCGCGGCGGCGGGCCCGGUGCUGGGGACCGGUCCCCGGCGUCGCCCUCGGGCGCCGCCAGCGGGGGCCGCCCUCGAAAUACAGUGGCCGCCGCGCCGCCCGUCUCCUCUGCGUAGUAGAAAACCUCGCACCGGGACGCGGCGCGGCCGUGCCGCGGGACGACCUCUCGCCCCGCACACACAAUCAGUGGUUGACCUCGGAUCAGGUAGGAAUACCCGCUGAACUUAA
This 306-nucleotide unclassified non-coding RNA is filed under the name uncultured fungus. RNAcentral's name for it is "partial contains 5.8S ribosomal RNA, internal transcribed spacer 2, and large subunit ribosomal RNA". The stretch from base 1 to 52 matches the Rfam family "5.8S ribosomal RNA", at positions 103 to 154 of the family's 154-position model. Lineage: Eukaryota; Fungi. The record is from RNAcentral.